RNAcentral lists this ribosomal RNA (497 nucleotides) under uncultured bacterium. RNAcentral describes it as "partial 16S ribosomal RNA". It matches the Rfam family "Bacterial small subunit ribosomal RNA", at positions 28 to 507 of the family's 1533-position model. The record is from RNAcentral.
GAUGAACGCUGGCGGCGUGCCUAAUACAUGCAAGUCGAGCGAACAGACGAGGAGCUUGCUCCUCUGACGUUAGCGGCGGAUGGGUGAGUAACACGUGGAUAACCUACCUAUAAGACUGGGAUAACUUCGGGAAACCGGAGCUAAUACCGGAUAAUAUAUUGAACCGCAUGGUUCAAUAGUGAAAGACGGUUUUGCUGUCACUUAUAGAUGGAUCCGCGCCGCAUUAGCUAGUUGGUAAGGUAACGGCUUACCAAGGCAACGAUGCGUAGCCGACCUGAGAGGGUGAUCGGCCACACUGGAACUGAGACACGGUCCAGACUCCUACGGGAGGCAGCAGUAGGGAAUCUUCCGCAAUGGGCGAAAGCUUGACGGAGCAACGCCGCGUGAUUGAUGAAGGUCUUCGGAUCGUAAAACUCUGUUAUUAGGGAAGAACAAAUGUGUAAGUAACUAUGCACGUCUUGACGGUACCUAAUCAGAAAGCCACGGCUAACUACGUG